GGUGAUGCGUGGCGGUGUGCGGCGGUAAUACAUAGGGCCCGGUGGUUGUUCGGAUUAGCGGGGCGUACAGGGUGCGUAGGUGGUGAGGUAAGUCGGAUGUGAAAGCGCGGGGCUCAACGCCGAAAUGGCAGUGGAAACUACCUUGCUCGAGGGUUGGAGGGUGGACGGGAAUGCUUGGUGUAGCAGUGAAAUGCGUAGAUAUCAAGCGGAACACCAGUGGCGAAGGCGAGUCCCUGGACAACUCCUGACACUGAGGCACGAAAGCUAGGGGAGCAAACAGGAUUAGAUACCCGAGUAGUC
RNAcentral lists this ribosomal RNA (300 nucleotides) under uncultured Halosimplex sp. RNAcentral describes it as "bacterial SSU rRNA". It matches the Rfam family "Bacterial small subunit ribosomal RNA", at positions 495 to 795 of the family's 1533-position model. The record is from RNAcentral. Lineage: Archaea; Methanobacteriati; Methanobacteriota; Halobacteria; Halobacteriales; Haloarculaceae.